This 253-nucleotide ribosomal RNA is filed under the name uncultured bacterium. Its description in RNAcentral is "partial 16S ribosomal RNA". It matches the Rfam family "Bacterial small subunit ribosomal RNA", at positions 524 to 776 of the family's 1533-position model. The record is from RNAcentral.
UACGAAGGGGGCUAGCGUUGUUCGGAAUUACUGGGCGUAAAGGGCACGUAGGCUGUGCUGUAAGUCAGGCGUGAAAUCCCCGGGCUCAACCUGGGAAUUGCGCAUGAUACUGCGGCGCUUGAAGACGGGAGAGGAUGGCGGAAUUCCCAGUGUAGAGGUGAAAUUCGUAGAUAUUGGGAAGAACACCGGUGGCGAAGGCGGCCAUCUGGCCCGUUAUUGACGCUGAGGCACGAAGGCCAGGGGAGCAAACGGG